UGCCCCUUUUCUCCAUCUCUUUCUCCACAUCUACUUCUUGACAUCCUUUCGUCUGCGUGUGUGUGUGUGUGAGAGAGAGAGAGAGAGGGGAUCGGUGAUGAUCAAUUUCAUGGUGGGCUUGUCAAAGGGUUUCUUACAGAGUUUAUUGGCAUUCUGUCCACCUCCUCCUAUCAUUUUUUUUUACCAUGAAAGAAAAAAAAACAAGAUAAAUAAUGUGGAAUUUAUGAAUAUGUUGCAAAUAUUUUUUCUUUUGUUAGUUAGAGGAGGUGGGCAUACUGCCAACUGAGCUCUGUUGGCUUCACUUUGCAAAACCCUCAUGAAUACAUAAAUUCUUGCUUCUGUCAAAAAACCCCCCCCUUUUUUCACUUGUUUGUUUUUUCUUCCUGCAAAUUAUACUGCAACUGUUUGCAGGUCAAGGUAUGCAUGAUCUGAAAUUUUAGUUAUUGGAUUUAUUUUUUCUACUGAUCAUAUUUUUGUUUUUGUGCUUUUGUGUUUUGUAGUGGCAAUAUUGGCUAUCUGGAUUUCCUAAUUUCCUACAGCUGAACCCUAGUGUUUCUGUUGUUGGAAUCUCUUGGUAUUAAAGGGAUCAAAAAUUUGAGGCCUUUUUGACCCCCUUGGUUUUUAGCCAAGAAAAGCAAACUUCGCGGAGAGAAUUUCCCUAAAAUAAAAGAAUAAUACGAUUCAUUUCCUCUUAUGGGUUUUUAGUGUUUGUUUGUAACAGAAAUAUUCUACACAACCGAAUUCUAUAAAAGAUCAAGAAAUAUAACUUGAUUAGACGUAUGUAAUUUUCACAAA
Molecule: long non-coding RNA, 795 nt
Organism: Salvia miltiorrhiza (redroot sage)
Lineage: Eukaryota; Viridiplantae; Streptophyta; Magnoliopsida; Lamiales; Lamiaceae
Exons: 2
Source: RefSeq, a predicted model, not a curated record